AUUGUCACGUCAAUGUAGGCUAACGCAGUAUGGACUACUGGCACUCGUAACAGCAACUCACAAGGGCUCUCUCUCUCUCCCUCCCUUGAAACUGUUAAAAACUUCGUUACCCCAAGUUAACCCCAGAUACACGGAGGAUACACGAGUUUGCCGUUUAUUUUAGGCUAACCUUAGUGGAGAGUUUGCAGAUUUUUACCUUGUGGAUGUUGAUAUUGCACGAGUCUCUUGGAUAGCAGCACUGCGAGUUAAACUCCCUCGCAUCAACAAUCUGCCCUGAGACGGUGAACAACUGCCUUCAGGACUGCAACCAUAGGCCUACUGAAUGGAUGGCAGGGAAUACAGCACACGGGAAUUUAUAAAUGAAGAAGAGUGAAUAAAUGCACUUGCUUUUCAAACUGA
Molecule: long non-coding RNA, 399 nt
Organism: Alosa alosa (allis shad)
Lineage: Eukaryota; Metazoa; Chordata; Actinopteri; Clupeiformes; Clupeidae
Exons: 2
Source: RefSeq, a predicted model, not a curated record